CUUGAUCGAGCCCAGCCACAGCGGGACCUCGCGGUCCUGGCCGUAGGUGUUGAGCAGGGCCUGGGCCUC
RNAcentral lists this antisense RNA (69 nucleotides) under Actinokineospora bangkokensis. Its description in RNAcentral is "ASpks TB sRNA". It matches the Rfam family "ASpks TB sRNA". Lineage: Bacteria; Bacillati; Actinomycetota; Actinomycetes; Pseudonocardiales; Pseudonocardiaceae. The record is from Rfam by way of RNAcentral.